GUGGGGAAUAUUGGGCAAUGGGCGAAAGCCUGACCCAGCGACGCCGCGUGAGUGAAGAAGGUUUUCGGAUCGUAAAGCUCUUUCGUUAGGGACGAACGUGCUCUUUGUGAAUAAUGAGGAGUAAUGACGGUACCUAAAUAAGAAGCCACGGCUAACUACGUGCCAGCAGCCGCGGUAAUACGUAGGUGGCAAGCGUUGUCCGGAAUUAUUGGGCGUAAAGCGCGCGCAGGCGGGAUAUCAAGUCUGUCUUAAAAGUGCGAGGCUCAACCUCGUGAGGGGACAGAAACUGGUAUUCUUGAGUGUCGGAGAGGAAAGUGGAAUUCCAAGUGUAGUGGUGAAAUGCGUAGAGAUUUGGAAGAACACCAGUGGCGAAGGCGACUUUCUGGACGAUGUCUGACGCUGAGGCGCGAAAGCUAGGGGAGCGAACGGGAUUAGAUACCCGAGUAGUCC
This 450-nucleotide ribosomal RNA is filed under the name uncultured bacterium. RNAcentral describes it as "partial 16S ribosomal RNA". It matches the Rfam family "Bacterial small subunit ribosomal RNA", at positions 354 to 796 of the family's 1533-position model. The record is from RNAcentral.